GCGUGUAUCGUAUAAUGGUUAUUACCUUAGCCUUCCAAGCUAAUGAUGACGGUUCGAUUCCGUUUGCACGCU
RNAcentral lists this transfer RNA (72 nucleotides) under Actinobacillus pleuropneumoniae serovar 7 str. AP76. Its description in RNAcentral is "tRNA-Gly". It matches the Rfam family "tRNA". From Rfam's summary of the family: Transfer RNA (tRNA) molecules are approximately 80 nucleotides in length. Lineage: Bacteria; Pseudomonadati; Pseudomonadota; Gammaproteobacteria; Pasteurellales; Pasteurellaceae. The record is from RNAcentral.